Long non-coding RNA from Ictalurus punctatus (channel catfish), 294 nucleotides. NCBI's taxonomy places the organism in Eukaryota, Metazoa, Chordata, Actinopteri, Siluriformes, Ictaluridae. The record is from Ensembl.
GAACUGUUACGAAGCACAGCAGCGAACCCUCCGUUCAUUAUAGUUUUACCGAGUGUUUAUGUGAUGUGAUGGAAUAUCCACAAGGCGUCUGUUACAGGCCGGAGAAAGGAAAAACCAGGAGUAAACGGCAGGCCACAGGGCAGACGGUCGCCACGCAAUCCGGGAACGAGCACAAAUCAAUUUCGGUAUCGCGCUUCCCCAGGGCGUGCCACUUUAUCGGAUCAGGGUCGUGGGAAGCCUGGAGCCUAUCCCAGGAGACUUGGGGACGCCCUAGAUAGUGUGCCAGCCAGUCGC